GACGAACGCUGGCGGCGUGCUUAACACAUGCAAGUCGAACGGAAAGGCCCUGCUUUUGUGGGGUGCUCGAGUGGCGAACGGGUGAGUAACACGUGAGUAACCUGCCCUUGACUUUGGGAUAACUUCAGGAAACUGGGGCUAAUACCGGAUAGGAGCUCCUGCUGCAUGGUGGGCGUUGGAAAGUUUCGGCGGUUGGGGAUGGACUCGCGGCUUAUCAGCUUGUUGGUUGGGUAGUGGCUUACCAAGGCAUGGACGGGUAGCCGGCCUGAGAGGGUGACCGGGCACAUUGGGACUGAGAUACGGCCCAGACUGGUACGGGAGGCAGCGGUGGGGAAUAUUGCACAAUGGGCGGAAGCCUGAUGCGACAACGCCGCGUGCGGGAUGACGGCCUUCGGGUUGUAAACCGCUUUCGGCUGUGACGAAGCGUGAGUGACGGUAAUGGGUGAAGAAGCACCGGCUAACUACGUG
Molecule: ribosomal RNA, 468 nt
Filed under: uncultured bacterium
Lineage: Bacteria
Description: partial 16S ribosomal RNA
Rfam family: Bacterial small subunit ribosomal RNA
Source: RNAcentral